UGCAUCUGCAGCCCAUGAGGAUGAGAACCUCCGGGGGCAGGGAGGUUCGACUCGAGCGAAGCGAGAGAACGUUGCGCCAGCAACGGCCCGCAGGGCGAGCCACG
Molecule: small RNA, 104 nt
Filed under: Escherichia coli
Lineage: Bacteria; Pseudomonadati; Pseudomonadota; Gammaproteobacteria; Enterobacterales; Enterobacteriaceae
Description: partial RtT sRNA
Rfam family: RtT RNA
About the family: This family represents a bacterial cis-regulatory element known as RtT RNA. The exact function of RtT is unknown although it is thought that it may be involved in changing the cellular response in relation to amino acid starvation.
Source: RNAcentral